Passer montanus (Eurasian tree sparrow) is the source of this 685-nucleotide long non-coding RNA. RefSeq lists it as uncharacterized. The record is from RefSeq and is a predicted model, not a curated record. Lineage: Eukaryota; Metazoa; Chordata; Aves; Passeriformes; Passeridae. The transcript has 5 exons.
GGGGUCAGCCCCGUCGGCGCAGCAGGUCUCGGCCAGGGAGACGAUCUCCCGCACGAGGCUGCCGAUCUCCUCGAAGGUGCCGUUGGAAUAUUUGCGGCUGUUGGCAACCAUGGUCCUGGCAGCAGGGACAGGGAGAGCCAGGUGUCCAGCAGCAGGAGGUACCUACAUGGUUCUGAAGUUCUCCUUUCCCAGGAUCUUGUACUCCUGGCAGACUUUCUCCCGGACAUAAGCUUUCCCUGAAAGUGCAGGAGAAGGAGGAAUUGAGGAUUUGGUGGUCCCUGGGGAGAUAUUGGCACAGCCGGCCUGGGAGAAGCAUCCCUGGUGUCCAGGCUGCUGCUCCAGCCCCACAGCCAGGGAAAGGAGCAGGGACAAAACCCUUCCUGGAGCUGGGAGAGCUACAGGAACGCCGGCUCCCGGUCCCAACCCGUGGCAUUGCUGUUCACUUGUACAAAGCCGUGUGGGAGAGGUGAGUUCUGGUGUUUUUUGGCAGGUGGGGAUUCCCUGUGGAGCUGAGGAGGCAGCCGAGGGCGGCAGAGCACGGUUUCCACCAAGGGGGAUGGGUGAAACCUCGGGAUCUGUGAAGGAUGCCGGGAGCAACACGAGCAACAGGAGGAGAAGAAGCUCUCGGUGAGUGGCAAGCCCUGUGUGCUGGGGACAGUGUCUGAUCCUGCUUUUUUUUGGGAUG